Molecule: long non-coding RNA, 1169 nt
Organism: Lolium perenne
Lineage: Eukaryota; Viridiplantae; Streptophyta; Magnoliopsida; Poales; Poaceae
Source: RefSeq, a predicted model, not a curated record
UUUUUCUUAAGUUUUCGUUCCCCGCAGAAACUUCCCUCCCAUCUCUAACCCUAACCAAACUCUCCCCGCCGCCACAUUCGUCCUCUUCUCAGAUCCAAUCGCCCGUCAAUCCCAGUGCGUGAACACCCUUCUUCCCAAGGCGGCUGGCAGCUCGUAGGAGGAACUCGUCGCCUUCCUCUCCCUCCCUGGCGGGGCUCACCACCGACGGCUGCGUCGUCCUCGCGGGGCUCACCGCCGACGGGCACGUCGCCCUCGCAGGGGUCACCGCCGACGCCCUUGUCUACCACGACUUCGUCUACAGCGGUGCAGAUCUAGGCCGUGCUGCAGUUCGGUGAGGCGGCAUGUUCAUGCUGCUGGUCGUUGCCGCUGCAGCUAGAUCCGGUCGCUGAUGGCAUCCGCCACGGGCUUCCUCCUCGUUUCGUCAACCGCAGGCUCCCGCAUCUUGGUGCUCGCCACGGGCUCCCUUCGUGAGGAAGAGCGACCGCGAGUUUCGUGGUUCUUGUUUCAUGGAGCCCAUUCGUGGUUCUUCGAGCCAUACCACAAGCACAUAUCACACAUACGCGGCCCAGGCAACCUCCACUGCUGAGGACUGUCCGACAGGAUAGAUGAGGAUGGAAGCUUGCUAUCUUUUGUGGAAAAGCAUCGAAGUACCACCUUACACCAUAUAGCAGUACGAAGUUACCUGAUUUGUUAAUUCAAAAGUCUGCCAAGGAUUGAAACUCACCACACCGUAAACUCAACAUAGAAAAGCCCUUUUGCCCUCAACAUAGAACCAACUGCCAUACUUUAAGCAAGCUGGAAGACAUCAGGACAAUAGGACGGAUCAAACAUUGUAAUACUUACUACUGGACGGAGACGCGGAGCUGAAGCUGGUUAGAGUAGGUAACCAUGGUGGCCUUCUUCAUCUACGUCUUUUACAGGAGCUCCAUGAGCUCCAUGUCAGCUCCAGGUCGAAGAAAGAUGAAGCCCGAAGCCCCACAAAGCAAGAGUGGCUACUUAUAAUAGUGCCAGUUAUAUUGUAGUACUGUAAUUAAAUCUGGUUCUAUGAACAAUAUGUAAAAGACUACAAUCGUAAUUUUGGCUACUAUUUCUAGAAUUUUGUAUGUUCUCUUAUUCUGUUUGAAAAAUUUGUUGUUGGUAAACUGUGAGAAAUAAGAACCUGAAGAGUG